RNAcentral lists this long non-coding RNA (422 nucleotides) under Musa acuminata (dwarf banana). Its description in RNAcentral is "long non-coding RNA (MACU_LNC004894)". The record is from RNAcentral. Lineage: Eukaryota; Viridiplantae; Streptophyta; Magnoliopsida; Zingiberales; Musaceae.
AGUGGCCAUCACGACCAUCUUCUCGAGAUCGAGGCUGAAACCUGAACGCUGAACGGAGCCAUACCUGCAGAGAUCCAUGUACCAGUCGUACUGUUCAUGCGGGAGACCAACUUCCCCGAUCCUGCAAAGAGUUCGACCACCGGUCUCGGUCAGUGCACAAGAUAAGAGUUGUUGUUGUUGUUCUUCCUUCAUCCCUGUUUUGGUUUACCUCUUGCUGAUCACGUCCAAUCUUUCCUCCUUUUGGCUUCCUCUAACCAGAACUCCGACCUACAGAAAAAUUCUAUCAGCGCCCGUACCGAAGAAAAAUUGGGAUUUAACUCGUCAAACACUUGCUUUGGGUGCGAUUAUUUCGAAAGCAGAAGCUGUUAUGAGAUUAGCAUUCCCUCGCACGUAGAAUGGUUUGAUCUCUUUGGGGAACUCAU